Molecule: ribosomal RNA, 750 nt
Filed under: uncultured bacterium
Lineage: Bacteria
Description: bacterial SSU rRNA
Rfam family: Bacterial small subunit ribosomal RNA
Source: RNAcentral
AGAGUUUGAUCAUGGCUCAGAACGAACGCUGGCGGCAUGCCUAAUACAUGCAAGUCGAACGCGCCUAGCAAUAGGCGAGUGGCGGACGGGUGAGUAACGCGUGGGAACCUGCCCUUGAGUGCGGGAUAACCGAGGGAAACUUCGGCUAAUACCGCAUGCGCCCCGGGCAACUGGGGGAAAGAUUUAUCGCUCGAGGAGGGGCCCGCGUCGGAUUAGCUAGUUGGUGGGGUAACGGCCUACCAAGGCGAUGAUCCGUAGCUGGUCUGAGAGGAUGAUCAGCCACACUGGGACUGAGACACGGCCCAGACUCCUACGGGAGGCAGCAGUAGGGAAUAUUGGACAAUGGGGGCAACCCUGAUCCAGCAAUGCCGCGUGAGUGAUGAAGGCCUUAGGGUUGUAAAGCUCUUUCGCACGCGACGAUGAUGACGGUAGCGUGAGAAGAAGCCCCGGCUAACUUCGUGCCAGCAGCCGCGGUAAUACGAAGGGGGCGAGCGUUGUUCGGAAUUACUGGGCGUAAAGGGCGCGCGGGCGGCUCUGCAAGUCAGGCGUGAAAGCCCCGGGCUUAACCUGGGAAUUGCGCUUGGGACUGUGGGGCUUGAGUUCGGGAGAGGAGAGUGGAAUUCCCAGUGUAGAGGUGAAAUUCGUAGAUAUUGGGAAGAACACCGGUGGCGAAGGCGGCUCUCUGGACCGAUACUGACGCUGAGGCGCGAAAGCGUGGGGAGCAAACAGGAUUAGAUACCCUAGUAGUCC